GAAUGAAUAAAUUAAAACAGCAAAAGGUGAACUAAGCUAUCUCUCUGGGUUCCUUCUGGCAUUGGCCGCUAAUAGGAUUAUUAUGUAGCUCUGAUUUAUGUCAUAGGUAGAUGGUAGUCCUUAUAUGGUGGGAGAAAGAGACUGGAAGGUUUAUGUCAUAGGUAUCUGGUAGUCCUUAUAUGGUGGGAGAAAGACUGGAAGGGCAGUGAGGAGGUCCCAUCUAACAGGGGAUUUGCGUCGCAAGUAAAUGUAAAAAACUGGGAGAGUAAUGGUACAAGUACAAUCAUGAGUUCUAAAAGCUGUAAUGCCUCACCGAAUGUUCCAACAUAUCACGACUUGGGCAGACAAUC
Molecule: long non-coding RNA, 350 nt
Filed under: Populus trichocarpa (black cottonwood)
Lineage: Eukaryota; Viridiplantae; Streptophyta; Magnoliopsida; Malpighiales; Salicaceae
Description: long non-coding RNA (PTRI_LNC000397)
Source: RNAcentral